GACGAACGCUGGCGGCGUGCCUAAUACAUGCAAGUCGAACGCUUCUUUCCUCCCGAGUGCUUGCACUCAAUUGGAAAGCGGAGUGGCGGACGGGUGAGUAACACGUGGGUAACCUACCCAUCAGAGGGGGAUAACACUUGGAAACAGGUGCUAAUACCGCAUAACAGUUUAUGCCGCAUGGCAUAAGAGUGAAAGGCGCUUUCGGGUGUCGCUGAUGGAUGGACCCGCGGUGCAUUAGCUAGUUGGUGAGGUAACGGCUCACCAAGGCCACGAUGCAUAGCCGACCUGAGAGGGUGAUCGGCCACACUGGGACUGAGACACGGCCCAGACUCCUACGGGAGGCAGCAGUAGGGAAUCGUCGGCAAUGGACGAAAGUCUGACCGAGCAACGCCGCGUGAGUGAAGAAGGUUUUCGGAUCGUAAAACUCUGUUGUUAGAGAAGAACAAGGACGUUAGUAACUGAACGUCCCCUGACGGUAUCUAACCAGAAAGCCACGGCUAACUACGUG
RNAcentral lists this ribosomal RNA (508 nucleotides) under uncultured bacterium. RNAcentral's name for it is "partial 16S ribosomal RNA". It matches the Rfam family "Bacterial small subunit ribosomal RNA", at positions 28 to 507 of the family's 1533-position model. The record is from RNAcentral.